ACCACCCUUGUAUUGGGGUGAGUGGCUGCUCAAUGAGCGAGUAGUGAGAGUGGCACUGCUGGCACCACUGACAACACUUUGGCGCCACUGCUGUUCCCACAGUAGGAAGGUGCAAUUUUUGGAACC
Non-coding RNA from Xenopus tropicalis (tropical clawed frog), 126 nucleotides. The record is from Rfam. NCBI's taxonomy places the organism in Eukaryota, Metazoa, Chordata, Amphibia, Anura, Pipidae.